CCUACGGGUGGCAGCAGUGAGGAAUAUUGGUCAAUGGACGGGAGACUGAACCAGCCAAGCCGCGUGCGGGAGGAAGGUACAAAGUAUUGUAAACCUCUUUUGUCAGGGAAUAAAGGCGGGGACGUGUCCCCGGAUGAAUGUACCUGAAGAAAAAGCAUCGGCUAACUCCGUGCCAGCAGCCGCGGUAAUACGGAGGAUGCGAGCGUUAUCCGGAUUUAUUGGGUUUAAAGGGUGCGUAGGCGGUCCGUUAAGUUAGUGGUCAAAGCCCGGGGCUCAACCCCGGCCCCGCCGUUGAUCCUGGCAGUCUAGAGUGGGGGAGAGGUAUGCGGAAUGCGUGGUGUAGCGGUGAAAUGCAUAGAUAGCGCGCAGAACUCCGAUUGCGAAGGCAGCAUGCC
RNAcentral lists this ribosomal RNA (395 nucleotides) under uncultured bacterium. RNAcentral describes it as "partial 16S ribosomal RNA". It matches the Rfam family "Bacterial small subunit ribosomal RNA", at positions 338 to 730 of the family's 1533-position model. The record is from RNAcentral.